This is a long non-coding RNA of Cebus imitator (Panamanian white-faced capuchin), 716 nucleotides long. RefSeq lists it as uncharacterized. The transcript has 3 exons. NCBI's taxonomy places the organism in Eukaryota, Metazoa, Chordata, Mammalia, Primates, Cebidae. The record is from RefSeq and is a predicted model, not a curated record.
AAAUGUAAAUCUGUGCCUAUACUCAAAAGAUGAUUACAGUUCACUUGGGAAUACAAGAAUAUAAAUGCACAAAUGUGGAUUCUGUACUAUUAUAAAGUGCCAAAUUAUACAGUGUAGUUUGAACAGUGGUUCUUAACCACAUAUGCAUAGCAGCAUCAUGCAUGAUGUGUUUUAACGACAGAAGCCAGGACCCUACUGCACUGACUAAGUACAUUUCUGAGGUCAGAACUUGGACAUGUGUGUUUUAAAAUUCCAUGGGUGAUUUUGAGGUGUGCUAUGGAUAACAACCACUGGAUUAAAAUAUAUGUGUAAUAUACUAAUAUGUUAAAUAUGCAGAUUUUAAAAGUUAAUUUUGGCCGGGAUGUAAAAAGAUGGCUUUAUAGAAGAGAAAUGAUUUGAAUGGAAGGUCAGAUGUAGACAGAAGAAUUUCUUCAUCUCAACUCGCCUCACCACUACAGAUCCAAGCCUAACACAGAGCCUAACAGAAAUACUUUCCUCCAAAUACAACCCUGUUCACCAUGGAAGACACGAAAAGCUUCAGUGGUUGCUGCUGGGGGCCUUCACCACAAAACAGCCAUUCACCUUUGCUUUUGCUCUAUCUACAAAAUAUAUUCACCGGCACACUCCAGAAGUCAACUUUGAUUCAACUACAGCCUUCAGUUACCAGGCCUUAUCACACAUCUGUAAAACUGGGAAAUAAACAAGUGUUUAAAAUA